CUGGCCAUGCUUCCUCCCGCAGUGUGAACCGUCUCCUUUUGUUGCUGCUUUGAGGUCUGGUUAGGUGGUUAUUAUGUGCUCGCCGAAUCCACUGCAUCUUCGCCUCAACCCACUCUCCAACCCUCCUAUCCCCACUUAGAUUUGAAGUUCCUUGGGGAGGUAUACCUUUUUUUUGUUUUUGUUUUUGUUUUUGAGACGGAGUCUCCCUCUGGAGUGAGUGCAGUGGCACGAUCUUGGCUCACAGCAAGCUCCGCCUCCGGGGUUCACGCCAUUCUCCUGCCUCAGCCUCCUGAGUAGCUGGGACUAUAGGCGCCCGCCACCACGCCUGGCUAAUUUUUUUGUAGAGAUGGAGUUUCACCGUGUUAGCCACCAUGGUCUCGAUCUGCCAGGAGUUCCAGCAAUGCGAGAUUUCUGUGAAGGAUUUAAACAAGAGAAAAAAAAAGGAGAAGUAAGCAGCCUGCAAAGAAAUGUUUAGAAAAUUCCAAGUGGGUGAAGCUUGCAGGAUUUGAUGAGAUGAAUUGGUGAAUAGCUUUGUGACAGACCUUCGUUCAAGAUCCAUUCAAGGAUAGAAGACAAUUGCAUUGAAUGGUUGAAUAGGGAGAUUUCUCAGGAGAAUGUUGCUGGGUGCCGUUGAAUAUUUACUCUCCCACAUCCUUGCCUGGCAGGAGGGCCUGUAAGGAGGCUAUUCUAUGAGCUUGUAUCAUCUCCCUGGAUUCUAGGAGCAAAUUACGAAGCAAAUGUUGGACCUCUGCCUGUGAAAACCACAGGUCCAAGACACUGAGAGGAACCAGGAACCACGCCUGAAGAGCUUCCUUUAGGAUUUCUUGUGAGACAAGUCAGCUUUUAUUUGUCUGGAAAAGUCUUUAUCUCACUUUUAUUUGUGAAGAACUGCUUUGGCAGUUCUCAAGAGUAACUGUAGAAUGUACUGGGAAGGCAACAUCCUGAGAGAAGAAAGGACUGGCUAGAACAGCCCAGGCCGUGUUCCAGUUUCUUGGAAACAGAAUGUCUUUCAAUGUUUUGUCCAGGGGGUAACUUCACCUUGGAGUAUAAAACCCAGGGUGGACUGCUUUUGCGGGUCCCUAGCUGAGGUACAAGUGUGGCAUGCACAGACAGGACUACACCUCCCCCGAGCAGUUUUCCCCAGCCUUGGAGGACUAGCUUGCCAUGAAUCCCAG
This is a long non-coding RNA of Gorilla gorilla gorilla (western lowland gorilla), 1175 nucleotides long. RefSeq lists it as uncharacterized. The transcript is spliced from 5 exons. Lineage: Eukaryota; Metazoa; Chordata; Mammalia; Primates; Hominidae. The record is from RefSeq and is a predicted model, not a curated record.